Molecule: ribosomal RNA, 512 nt
Filed under: uncultured bacterium
Lineage: Bacteria
Description: partial 16S ribosomal RNA
Rfam family: Bacterial small subunit ribosomal RNA
Source: RNAcentral
GAUGAACGCUGGCGGCGUGCUUAAUACAUGCAAGUCGAACGAAACUUCUUUAUCACCGAGUGCUUGCACUCACCGAUAAAGAGUUGAGUGGCGAACGGGUGAGUAACACGUGGGCAACCUGCCCAAAAGAGGGGGAUAACACUUGCAAACAGGUGCUAACACCGCAUAACCAUAGUUACCGCAUGGUAACUAUGUAAAAGGUGGCUAUACUACCGCUUUUGGAUGGGCCCUGGGCGCAUUAGCCAGUUGGUAGGGUCAAGGCUUACCAAGGCAAUGAUGCGUAGCCGAAUUGAGAGGUUGGUCGGCGACAUUGGGAGUGAGACACGGCCCAAACUCCUGCGGGAGGCAGCAGUAGGGAAUCUUACACAAUGGGCGAAAGCCUGAUGGAGCAACGCCGCGUGGGUGAAGAAGAUGUUCGGAUGGGAAAACCCUGUUGUUAGUGGAGAAAGUGCGUGAGAGUAAAUGUUCACGUUUCGACGGUAUCUAACCAGAAAGCCACGGCUAACUACGUG